This 29-nucleotide non-coding RNA is filed under the name Rattus norvegicus (Norway rat). The record is from RNAcentral. Lineage: Eukaryota; Metazoa; Chordata; Mammalia; Rodentia; Muridae.
UUCCUCAGCCUCAUGUAAGUAGCCAACGA